Molecule: unclassified non-coding RNA, 22 nt
Filed under: Dictyostelium discoideum
Lineage: Eukaryota; Evosea; Eumycetozoa; Dictyosteliales; Dictyosteliaceae
Source: RNAcentral
AAACUAGAUUGUUGCUCCCCAA